This 73-nucleotide transfer RNA is filed under the name Camelus bactrianus (Bactrian camel). It matches the Rfam family "tRNA". Rfam says of the family: Transfer RNA (tRNA) molecules are approximately 80 nucleotides in length. Their secondary structure includes four short double-helical elements and three loops (D, anti-codon, and T loops). The record is from Rfam by way of RNAcentral. RNAcentral also lists the same sequence under 3 other names. Lineage: Eukaryota; Metazoa; Chordata; Mammalia; Artiodactyla; Camelidae.
GAGGGUAUAGCUCAAGUGGUAGAGCGCAUGCUUAGCAUGCAGAAGGUCCUGGGUUCAAUCCCCAGUACCUCCU